GAUGAACGCUAGCGGCAGGCCUAAUACAUGCAAGUCGAACGGGCGGUAGCAAUACCGCUAGUGGCGCACGGGUGCGUAACGCGUAACCAACCUGCCCAGAUCUGGGGGAUAGCCCGCCGAAAGGCGGAUUAAUACCGCAUAAACCCACAGUGUGGCAUCACAUAAUGGGUAAAGAUUUAUCGGAUCUGGAUGGGGUUGCGUAGCAUUAGCUAGUUGGCGGGGUAAUGGCCCACCAAGGCGACGAUGCUUAGGGGACCUGAGAGGGUGAUCCCCCACACUGGAACUGAGAUACGGGCCAGACUCCUACGGGAGGCAGCAGUAGGGAAUAUUGGGCAAUGGGCGAGAGCCUGACCCAGCCAUGCCGCGUGCCGGAUGAAGGCCUUCUGGGUUGUAAACGGCUUUUCUCAGGGAAGAAAACGGGGAUGCGUCCUCAACUGACGGUACCUGAGGAAUAAGCACCGGCUAACUCCGUG
Molecule: ribosomal RNA, 473 nt
Filed under: uncultured bacterium
Lineage: Bacteria
Description: partial 16S ribosomal RNA
Rfam family: Bacterial small subunit ribosomal RNA
Source: RNAcentral